GACGAACGCUGGCGGCGUGCUUAACACAUGCAAGUCGAACGGAAAGGCCCUGCUUUUGUGGGGUGCUCGAGUGGCGAACGGGUGAGUAACACGUGAGUAACCUGCCCUUGACUUUGGGAUAACUUCAGGAAACUGGGGCUAAUACCGGAUAGGAGCUCCUGCUGCAUGGUGGGGGUUGGAAAGUUUCGGCGGGUGGGGAUGGACUCGCGGCUUAUCAGCUUGUUGGUGGGGUAGUGGCUUACCAAGGCUGUGACGGGUAGCCGGCCUGAGAGGGUGACCGGCCACAUUGGGACUGAGAUACGGCCCAGACUCCUACGGGAGGCAGCAGUGGGGAAUAUUGCACAAUGGGCGGAAGCCUGAUGCAGCAACGCCGCGUGCGGGAUGACGGCCUUCGGGUUGUAAACCGCUUUCGCCUGUGACGAAGCGGGAGUGACGGUAAUGGGUAAAGAAGCACCGGCUAACUACGUG
RNAcentral lists this ribosomal RNA (468 nucleotides) under uncultured bacterium. Its description in RNAcentral is "partial 16S ribosomal RNA". It matches the Rfam family "Bacterial small subunit ribosomal RNA", at positions 28 to 507 of the family's 1533-position model. The record is from RNAcentral.